Non-coding RNA from Pelobates cultripes (western spadefoot toad), 230 nucleotides. NCBI's taxonomy places the organism in Eukaryota, Metazoa, Chordata, Amphibia, Anura, Pelobatidae. The record is from the annotation of a GenBank genome assembly.
GGGAAAUAGUCGUACGAUGCAUAAGCCGUCUGAUCUCCUUCUUGAUCGAAAUCAUUUUGUCUUUGUGUAGACACAACCUCUGUCGAACAGAGUCGACUUGGAAACCCAGAAAUUCCAUCUGUCUGGAGGGUUGUAGAAUUGAUUUUUCCCAAUUCACCAAAAAUCCUAAGUUUUGGAUAAGGUGGAUCGUCCAGGAUAGGUGAAUGCGAAGUUGGGAUUGAGAUUGGGAC